This 513-nucleotide ribosomal RNA is filed under the name uncultured bacterium. RNAcentral's name for it is "bacterial SSU rRNA". It matches the Rfam family "Bacterial small subunit ribosomal RNA", at positions 60 to 572 of the family's 1533-position model. The record is from RNAcentral.
AGUCGAGGGGUAGAGGAAGCUUGCUUCCUUGAGACCGGCGCACGGGUGCGUAACGCGUAUGCAAUCUACCUUGUACAGGGGGAUAGCCCAGAGAAAUUUGGAUUAAUACCCCAUAGCGUAAUUGAAUGGCAUCAUUUAAUUACUAAAGUUCCAACGGUACAAGAUGAGCAUGCGUCCUAUUAGCUAGUUGGUGUGGUAACGGCACACCAAGGCUACGAUAGGUAGGGGUCCUGAGAGGGAGAUCCCCCACACUGGUACUGAGACACGGACCAGACUCCUACGGGAGGCAGCAGUGAGGAAUAUUGGACAAUGGGCGCAAGCCUGAUCCAGCCAUGCCGCGUGCAGGAAGAAGCAUCUAUGGUGUGUAAACUGCUUUUGUACGGGAAGAAACACUGCUACGUGUAGCAGCUUGACGGUACCGUAAGAAUAAGGAUCGGCUAACUCCGUGCCAGCAGCCGCGGUAAUACGGAGGAUCCAAGCGUUAUCCGGAAUCAUUGGGUUUAAAGGGUCCGU